ACACUCCUACGGAGGCAGCAGUGGGGAAUUUUGGACAAUGGGCGAAAGCCUGAUCCAGCAAUGCCGCGUGAGUGAAGAAGGCCUUCGGGUUGUAAAGCUCUUUUGUCAGGGAAGAAACGGUGAGAGCUAAUAUCUUUUGCUAAUGACGGUACCUGAAGAAUAAGCACCGGCUAACUACGUGCCAGCAGCCGCGGUAAUACGUAGGGUGCAAGCGUUAAUCGGAAUUACUGGGCGUAAAGCGUGCGCAGGCGGUUUUGUAAGUCUGAUGUGAAAUCCCCGGGCUCAACCUGGGAAUUGCAUUGGAGACUGCAAGGCUAGAAUCUGGCAGAGGGGGGUAGAAUUCCACGUGUAGCAGUGAAAUGCGUAGAUAUGUGGAGGAACACCGAUGGCGAAGGCAGCCCCCUGGGUCAAGAUUGACGCUCAUGCACGAAAGCGUGGGGAGCAAACAGGAUUAGAUACCCGUGUAGUCCC
RNAcentral lists this ribosomal RNA (471 nucleotides) under uncultured organism. Its description in RNAcentral is "partial 16S ribosomal RNA". It matches the Rfam family "Bacterial small subunit ribosomal RNA", at positions 333 to 797 of the family's 1533-position model. The record is from RNAcentral.